Molecule: non-coding RNA, 62 nt
Filed under: bacterium
Lineage: Bacteria
Source: RNAcentral
AGCCGAAACGCCUUCGGGCGUCUGUAUGGAUUGAACACCAUGCACUGAUGAGGCAGUUCCUC